GUUGUAGAGUAUGGUGGAAUGCUACGAUCCCAUUGCAAGGUAGCUGGUAUAUGAACUUGGGCUUUCUAACCUCAACAGCUAACCUUUAGGGUGUGGUUCUCCUAAGUUCAUACCAGGAGGCCAUACUCUUCUAUUUAUUGUUUGUGAUAACUGUUCACAAUGGACAAUUUGCACUGCAAGCAGUUUCAGAGUUCUCUUUCUGAUCUGAUUUGGCAUUUCAAUCCUACCUCUUAACAGAUAUUAUUUCCCGCCUAAGUUUCUUUGCAUUUUAGUUUUAAAAUAAAUCCCAAACCUAACCUGAACAAUCAGGUCCUGCACAGGUGUCUUCCAUCAAUUCUUUGUGGAGAAUUUACCAUUCUCUCUCAUACUGUGAAAUUUUAUGGUUAGGGAUUCUUUUUAGAGCUGAUUCAUGUUGUAUCAAAAUCCAUUUAUUAGUGCAUCCUCCAGUAUUUGGCAUGUCUUCCCAUGUUAUUUAUAGCCAAAUGGGUGAUCCAUUGCUCUACACAGGUGGGUAACGUG
Molecule: unclassified non-coding RNA, 519 nt
Filed under: Hevea brasiliensis (rubber tree)
Lineage: Eukaryota; Viridiplantae; Streptophyta; Magnoliopsida; Malpighiales; Euphorbiaceae
Source: RNAcentral